ACUGUUUUGUUGUAUAUAUUAUUAUUCUUAUAGUAUAUUUUGCAUAUUUUGUUUUGUUGUAUAUAUUAUUAUUGUUUAUUGUUUAUAGCACACUGUACACUGUAUAUAUACACUAUGUAUAUAUUGGAUUCUAUUUAUGUGUUUUAAGUGUUUUAUUUGCGGACCCACUACUGCUGUAACAAAAUAAUUUCCCAGUCUGGGAUCAUUAAAGUAAUUCUAUCUAUCUAUCUAUCUAUCUAUCUAUCUAUCUAUCUAUCUAUCUAUCUAUCUAUCUAUCUAUCUAUCUAUCUAUUACAUACAUGUAGACAUAUGUUUAAUUUACUUCUACUUGUACUUUUGAUACUUAAGUACAUUUAGUAUCAGGUACUUUAAGGCUUUCACUCAGUUACUAAUUGUAUGGGUGACUUAUUUUAACAGGAAAUCUUUACUUUUACUCCCAUGUGAGUUUUGGGUACUUUACUCAACACUGCUGUUUGCUCAUUCACAGCAGAGCUUAAGGAAAAAUACACACGAAGGUCUAAUUUUAUUGACAAAAAUCGUCACUCACAUUUGCAAAUCUUGUUUUGCAGUGUUGUGCAGUCACUUGAUGUUCACCCAGUUAUUGUGUCUCCUUUCAGGUGAGCAGGCUGUAUUCCCACGAGAAAGAAGAACAGCAGUCCUGAGAAUUUCUUGGACUUUGCAUGUUUCCACCUCAACCGGGACACUGAAACCAGCAGGAAGGAAGUGAAACUCAGAGCAAAGCUGCAAAUAAAUAUGCAAGAGACAGGAUAAAGAGCUGGAGGAAAGGUGGAGAGUGAGAGACGGAGAAAGAGAGUUUCUAAGGAUGAAUAAAACGGAGGUAAGUCCAGCAACACCACUGACAUGAGCCAAAAGCACUUACUGACCCUCUCUCACACACACACACACGCACACACGCACGCACGCACACACACACACACACCACCCCUCUUUUUCUCCCCACCCGUGCUUCAUCUUUUAAAGAGGAAGUGGUCUGAACUGUUGCUUCUUUCUCAGGAUUUAGUUUCCACAAUGCAUGUCACAUGUUCCCGUUAAGAGCUGAUGUGUCGACACAUAUGCUUUUUCCGAAAAACUUACCAACUUCUUCAUUGAGGGCUGAUAACAACACACCACAGUCAUGUUCACGUCUCAUGUCAAUCCAACCCUGAGAAAUAUGGUCACAUAACGACUUCUCUAAAGACUGCUGCAUGCUGAAUAUUUUGACCAUACAAUCUGUGUUUUCACCGUCAUUUACCAUACACAUUUAUACUGACUUUAUAUCAGAACAUCU
This 1288-nucleotide long non-coding RNA is filed under the name Sparus aurata (gilthead seabream). Its description in RNAcentral is "lncRNA (ENSSAUG00010010966.1)". The record is from RNAcentral. Lineage: Eukaryota; Metazoa; Chordata; Actinopteri; Spariformes; Sparidae.